Molecule: RNA transcript, 958 nt
Organism: Eucalyptus grandis
Lineage: Eukaryota; Viridiplantae; Streptophyta; Magnoliopsida; Myrtales; Myrtaceae
Gene name: probable calcium-binding protein CML36
Exons: 2
Source: RefSeq, a predicted model, not a curated record
AUGAGGCUCGUCAAGAUCACCUCCAAGGCGCUCAAGCUCAGCCCUAAGCACCUCUUCGGGUCCCGGAAGGGCCGAUCCGUCGCGUCCCGCCCGAAACGCCUUCCUUCGGCGCCGCCUCCGUCCUCGGCCGGCGGCGGCGGCGGCGGCGGCGGCGGCGGGGGCGGGGUCUGGGCCGGCAGCAACCUCGAGCUCGCCCGCGCGUUCGGGCUCAUCGACCGGGACGGCGACGGAUCCUCUCGCGGAAGGAGCUCGAGGCCCUGCUCAGCCGGCUCGGCAGCCGGGACGAGGUGGCGGUGAUGCUGAGCGAGGUGGGGUGCCACGGCGAGGGGAGGACGCCGCCGUGAGCAUCGAGGAGCUGCUGAGCCGGGUGGGUCCGGCGUGCGGGCCGGCCUGCGACGACGCCGAGCUGCGGGAGACGUUCGAGUUCUUCGACGCGGACCACGACGGGAAAAUCACGGCGGAGGAGCUCCUCGGGGUGUUCGCGGCGUUCGGGGACGAGCGGUGCACGCUCGAGGAGUGCCGCCGCAUGAUCUCGGAGGUGGACAAGAACGGGGACGGGUUCGUGUGCUUCGAGGACUUCACUCGGAUGAUGGAGCUGCCGAGAUGAUGAUGACGAUCGUAGUCAUCACCGUCGCGAUCCAAUGCAUCAUAUUAUAGAGUCGAUAAGGAUCUGAAGUCAGUCAGUCAGUCGGUCGGUAUUUCCUGCUACUGAUGAUCGUACCGUACGCCGUUGUUAUUUUUGCCUUCUUCUUUUACGUGCUUUUUCUUCCCCCUCUUUUUAAAAUGAUGUCGACGGAACUCGGUCGGGUGGCGAGGGUUGAGAUCUUUGGGUAAGGAAGAGAUCAACGGCCAGGAUUGUUUUGUGAUGGGAGGAUCUGUAAUUUUUUUGUGUCUCUCUCACUGCCGUACAUACGCGAGUGAACUUAAAAAAUGGAACUUGGGACUCUUGUUUUCUCUG